Molecule: ribosomal RNA, 253 nt
Filed under: uncultured bacterium
Lineage: Bacteria
Description: partial 16S ribosomal RNA
Rfam family: Bacterial small subunit ribosomal RNA
Source: RNAcentral
UACGAAGGGGGCUAGCGUUGUUCGGAAUUACUGGGCGUAAAGCGCACGUAGGCGGAUACUUAAGUCAGGGGUGAAAUCCCGGGGCUCAACCCCGGAACUGCCUUUGAUACUGGGUAUCUCGAGUCCGGAAGAGGUGAGUGGAAUUCCGAGUGUAGAGGUGAAAUUCGUAGAUAUUAGGAAGAACACCAGUGGCGAAGGCGGCUCACUGGCCCGGUACUGACGCUGAGGCGCGAAAGCGUGGGGAGCAAACAGG